CUACGGGACGCAGCAGUGAGGAAUAUUGCACAAUGGGGGGAACCCUGAUGCAGCAACGCCGCGUGGAGGAUGACGCAUUUCGGUGUGUAAACUCCUUUUAUAUGUCAAGAAAAUGACGGUAGCAUAUGAAUAAGCACCGGCUAACUCCGUGCCAGCAGCCGCGGUAAUACGGAGGGUGCAAGCGUUACUCGGAAUCACUGGGCGUAAAGGACGCGUAGGCGGGUUGGAAAGUCAGGUGUGAAAUCCUACAGCUUAACUGUAGAACUGCACUUGAAACUUCUAAUCUAGAGUAUGGGAGGGGCAGAUGGAAUUAGUGGUGUAGGGGUAAAAUCCGUAGAUAUCACUAGGAAUACCUAAAGCGAAGGCGAUCUGCUGGAACAUAACUGACGCUAAGGCGUGAAAGCGUGGGGAGCAAACAGGAUUAGAUACCCUCGUAGUC
Molecule: ribosomal RNA, 439 nt
Filed under: uncultured bacterium
Lineage: Bacteria
Description: partial 16S ribosomal RNA
Rfam family: Bacterial small subunit ribosomal RNA
Source: RNAcentral